This is a non-coding RNA of Desulfobacterium sp. 4572_20, 117 nucleotides long. The record is from Rfam. NCBI's taxonomy places the organism in Bacteria, Pseudomonadati, Thermodesulfobacteriota, Desulfobacteria, Desulfobacterales, Desulfobacteriaceae.
GGGAGUAGGCCUCCCGUAAUCGGUCUGCAGGGACGGGUUACAAAUCACCGGAUGCUGCUCUUGAGGCAAUGCAAGGGUAGUGAGCGAAACCGGAAAAAUCAGCAAAUAGCUGGAAGA